GCUUGUCUCAAAGAUUAAGCCAUGCAUGUCUAAGUAUAAGCAUUAUACAGUGAAACUGCGAAUGGCUCAUUAUAUCAGUUAUAGUUUAUUUGAUAGUCCCUACUAUUUGGAUAACCGUAGUAAUUCUAGAGCUAAUACAUGCGUCAAGCCUCGACUCACGGAGAGGUGUAUUUAUUAGAUACAACCAGCCCUUCGGGUUUUCGGUGAAUCAUAAUAACUGUUCGAAUCGCACGGGCAACCGGCGAUAGUUCAUUCAAAUUUCUGCCCUAUCAGCUUUCGACGGUAGUGUAGUGGACUACCGUGGCGUUAACGGGUAACGGAGAAUUAGGGUUCGAUUCCGGAGAGGGAGCCUGAGAAACGGCUACCACAUCCAAGGAAGGCAGCAGG
Molecule: ribosomal RNA, 387 nt
Filed under: uncultured Bicosoecida
Lineage: Eukaryota; Bigyra; Bicosoecida
Description: partial small subunit ribosomal RNA
Rfam family: Eukaryotic small subunit ribosomal RNA
Source: RNAcentral